RNAcentral lists this microRNA (23 nucleotides) under Eptatretus burgeri (inshore hagfish). RNAcentral's name for it is "Ebu-Mir-17-P3e_5p (mature (guide))". Lineage: Eukaryota; Metazoa; Chordata; Myxini; Myxiniformes; Myxinidae. The record is from RNAcentral.
GAAAGUGCACAUAGUGAUAGAUA